AUGCUUUACACAUGCAAGUCGAACGGCAGCACGAGAGAGCUUGCUCUCUUGGUGGCGAGUGGCGGACGGGUGAGUAAUAUAUCGGAACGUGCCCAGUAGCGGGGGAUAACUACUCGAAAGAGUGGCUAAUACCGCAUACGCCCUACGGGGGAAAGGGGGGGAUCGCAAGACCUCUCACUAUUGGAGCGGCCGAUAUCGGAUUAGCUAGUUGGUGGGGUAAAGGCUCACCAAGGCAACGAUCCGUAGCUGGUUUGAGAGGACGACCAGCCACACUGGGACUGAGACACGGCCCAGACUCCUACGGGAGGCAGCAGUGGGGAAUUUUGGACAAUGGGGGAAACCCUGAUCCAGCCAUCCCGCGUGUAUGAUGAAGGCCUUCGGGUUGUAAAGUACUUUUGGCAGAGAAGAAAAGGCAUCCCCUAAUACGGGAUGCUGCUGACGGUAUCUGCAGAAUAAGCACCGGCUAACUACGUGCCAGCAGCCGCGGUAAUACGUAGGGUGCAAGCGUUAAUCGGAAUUACUGGGCGUAAAGCGUGUGUAGGCGGUUCGGAAAGAAAGAUGUGAAAUCCCAGGGCUCAACCUUGGAACUGCAUUUUUAACUGCCGAGCUAGAGUAUGUCAGAGGGGGGUAGAAUUCCACGUGUAGCAGUGAAAUGCGUAGAUAUGUGGAGGAAUACCGAUGGCGAAGGCAGCCCCCUGGGAUAAUACUGACGCUCAGACACGAAAGCGUGGGGAGCAAACAGGAUUAGAUACCCUGGUAGUCCACGCCCUAAACGAUGUCAACUAGCUGUUGGGGCCGUUAGGCCUUAGUAGCGCAGCUAACGCGUGAAGUUGACCGCCUGGGGAGUACGGUCGCAAGAUUAAAACUCAAAGGAAUUGACGGGGACCCGCACAAGCGGUGGAUGAUGUGGAUUAAUUCGAUGCAACGCGAAAAACCUUACCUACCCUUGACAUGUCUGGAAUGCCGAAGAGAUUUGGCAGUGCUCGCAAGAGAACCGGAACACAGGUGCUGCAUGGCUGUCGUCAGCUCG
Molecule: ribosomal RNA, 1030 nt
Filed under: Alcaligenes ammonioxydans
Lineage: Bacteria; Pseudomonadati; Pseudomonadota; Betaproteobacteria; Burkholderiales; Alcaligenaceae
Description: bacterial SSU rRNA
Rfam family: Bacterial small subunit ribosomal RNA
Source: RNAcentral